Molecule: unclassified non-coding RNA, 2328 nt
Filed under: Leishmania donovani
Lineage: Eukaryota; Euglenozoa; Kinetoplastea; Trypanosomatida; Trypanosomatidae
Description: gene:LdHU3.33.0620(CDS-product:serine_peptidase_C lan_SC_Family_S9D)
Source: RNAcentral
AGAGGCGCGCUGAUGUGUCUCUUUUUCUGGCUUUUCUCGUGCUAACUUCUCACACACCAACACUGCCCGCCACACGCACGCAUCGCAUGGGCACGGAAAGAGAGCGAGCGAGCGACACACCCACCGCCUCCCCCCCUUUCCCUACCCCCUUUCUCAUCUACACGCACACCUCCCUUCCUUCGGCUCAUUGCUGUUUUACGCCUUGUUUGUCGCCUGCUGCCAUUCGAGUGUGCUGUCGCUCGCUAGCUGCCGUCGCUUCGUCCUCCACUGGUGCUGGGCUGCUCCGCUACAGGGCAGCCAGGUGCCAUUGUGCGUCAGCUUGCCUCAGUGCGUCCGCCUCGACGUUCGCACCUUCCCUGUCAUCGGCGUCUACCGUUUUCUUUUUUUCUGUUGCAUGUGCCCGCUCCUUUUUGUCUCCGCGUUCCUACUUCUUCUCCACGCUCUUGCGGUGCCGGCCGUCCCUCCACCUCCCCCCGCCCGCCCCCUCUCGGACUCUCUAGCCUACGGUGUCUUCUCACUUCUUCCAUUCACGAUGCUGCAGUCGCUCGUGAACAGCAUCGUCUUUGCGCCCCCACGGGACCCGAACAGUCUGCAGCGGGUGCAGCUGCUGCAGCGCAAGCGGCACAUGAGCUUUACGAGCAAGAAGAGCGGCGAGAGAAUUUCGUACUUCCACUUUGAUUCAAAAGGCGAUCUCGUGACCAAGGACAACCUCGAACGGGUCGUGCGCUCCUCCAUGGUCCUGCUCUUCCACCACGGCAACGCCGAGGACCUCGGCGGCGCCUUCAGCUACGCGCAGUCCAUGGCCUGCGUCUUUGGAGUGGCAGUGGUGGUGUACGACUACUGCGGCUACGGUUUUUCUGGCUUUCCCGACGCUGCGACGCCGGCGGAGGUGACGGAGAAGAGCGUCUACAGCGACGCCGAUCACAUGUACGCCCACCUCCUCUCCCUCGGCUACCCUGCUCACCGCAUUAUUAUCGUUGGCCGCUCCGUCGGGGGUGGGCCGGCGUGCUACCUCGCUGAGAAGCAUCACAAGAAGGUGGGGGGCUUAGUGCUUAUAUCGACCUUUACCUCCUGCCUCCGCGUCGUCUCGUCUUGUUGCCUUCCGCACUUCUGCUGUUGCGUUGACUUGUUUCCUAACUACCGCCGCAUCGAGCACAUCAUGGAGUGCCCGGUGCUGAUGAUGCACGGAACCCGCGACAACGUCGUCCCACACCAUUGCUCGAGCGAGUUACUCGAGGACAUCGUAGCGCGCCGCAACAGCGCGUUGCAACGACUCUUGAAGAAGCGUGAGGGGGCGCGGGCAAAGCAGGCGAAACGCUCAAGUAAGCUGGGUGCUGCCUCAACAGGGCCAACAAACACUACGAAGGCAUCCGCGGCUAUCAGCGUUGCUGACGAGGCGCUCGCCACUGCCCAGCCACCCCCUGAUGGAGAGAAAGCCAGUGUGUUCGAUCUCUAUCGCCGCGCCUACGAUGGCCUGCCCGAGGCGGUGCGGCGGGUGGCGGAGGAGCGUCUCGACGUGACCGCUGCCAACGUCAGCAUCGGGGCCUUUCACAGGUGGUUUGCGGGCUGUGGGCACAACGACAUCGAGGCACGCGAGGGGCACACCUUCUCCGACAUGUUUGAGUAUUUUGUGCGCUUCGCGACCGCCUUCUCGAUGGAGCGGGAGGCGCUCCUGUCGGCCAAGCCGCUCACCGGUGCAGCUAAGGCAUCUCGUGACGCUUUUAACAGGGCUGACAGUGAGAUCCGCGAGUAGACAGCAGUGCGUCUUCUCUCUCUGAUGUUGUGUGUUGCGGCAGUGGCUUGCUCAUUUUACGUGACUCUGCCCCUUUUUUUCUCUCUUGGGUGACUGCUGAUCAACGGUCAUUGCUGCUAAGAGGGAGGAGGCGAUCUCCGCAGGGAAAGUGGGUGGAGAGGAGGGUAGCAACCCGCGGCGAUGGACAUUCAUCGAAUAAACGGGAACUCCCCUCCCCAUCUCUCCCGCCGCUGCCGCACUUUGCGGGAGGAAAGUGCCGGAAGGUUUUCUGCUUCUGCCCUCUCUGCACGUAUCCGUGUAUGGCAGGGGUGUGUGUAUCACUUGGGAACGCCGCGAUAAACUCCCCCCUGUCUUCGGCCUCUUCAGUGCGCGUGUGCGUGAUCUUUCAGCUUUACUUCUUGCCUCUGGGUGUACGUUUCACUUCUUGGCUCGUACUCUCGCUAUUUCGGCUUUUCGGUGGGCACACACACACACACACACACCUCCGCGUCCACAGUCCCGGGUGCACCGGCGCACCUAAUGGGAUGUCACGCUGGCCUCCGUGUACGCUUCUAGCUCGACGCUUGCACAAACGC